This is a non-coding RNA of Rattus norvegicus (Norway rat), 69 nucleotides long. The record is from Rfam. Lineage: Eukaryota; Metazoa; Chordata; Mammalia; Rodentia; Muridae.
GGGGAUUUAGCUCAGUGGUAGAGCGCUUGCCUAGCAAACAAAAGGCCCUGGGUUUGAUCCCCAGCUCCA